Molecule: long non-coding RNA, 113 nt
Organism: Gavialis gangeticus (Gharial)
Lineage: Eukaryota; Metazoa; Chordata; Crocodylia; Gavialidae
Exons: 3
Source: RefSeq, a predicted model, not a curated record
CACUGUUUCUCUUUGUGUCUAUACAAGAUGCUACAGCACUGUAGCAAUGGGCUACAGUGCCAUAGCAUCCAUUAGCAAAAACUGUGAUGCCACCACUACGUUACUGUAGCUCU